RNAcentral lists this ribosomal RNA (669 nucleotides) under uncultured bacterium. RNAcentral's name for it is "bacterial SSU rRNA". It matches the Rfam family "Bacterial small subunit ribosomal RNA", at positions 173 to 828 of the family's 1533-position model. The record is from RNAcentral.
AUAACAACAAAAGCCACAUGGCUUUUGUUUGAAAGAUGGCUUUGGCUAUCACUCUGGGAUGGACCUGCGGUGCAUUAGCUAGUUGGUAAGGUAACGGCUUACCAAGGCGAUGAUGCAUAGCCGAGUUGAGAGACUGAUCGGCCACAAUGGAACUGAGACACGGUCCAUACUCCUACGGGAGGCAGCAGUAGGGAAUCUUCCACAAUGGGCGCAAGCCUGAUGGAGCAACACCGCGUGAGUGAAGAAGGGUUUCGGCUCGUAAAGCUCUGUUGUUGGAGAAGAACGUGCGUGAGAGUAACUGUUCACGCAGUGACGGUAUCCAACCAGAAAGUCACGGCUAACUACGUGCCAGCAGCCGCGGUAAUACGUAGGUGGCAAGCGUUAUCCGGAUUUAUUGGGCGUAAAGCGAGCGCAGGCGGUUGCUUAGGUCUGAUGUGAAAGCCUUCGGCUUAACCGAAGAAGUGCAUCGGAAACCGGGCGACUUGAGUGCAGAAGAGGACAGUGGAACUCCAUGUGUAGCGGUGGAAUGCGUAGAUAUAUGGAAGAACACCAGUGGCGAAGGCGGCUGUCUGGUCUGCAACUGACGCUGAGGCUCGAAAGCAUGGGUAGCGAACAGGAUUAGAUACCCUGGUAGUCCAUGCCGUAAACGAUGAGUGAUAGGUGUUGGAG